This 268-nucleotide ribosomal RNA is filed under the name uncultured bacterium. RNAcentral's name for it is "partial 16S ribosomal RNA". It matches the Rfam family "Bacterial small subunit ribosomal RNA", at positions 88 to 354 of the family's 1533-position model. The record is from RNAcentral.
AUGGCGACCGGCGUACGGGUGAGUAACGCGUAUCCAACCUGCCCUUUACUAUGGGACAGCCCGUCGAAAGGCGGAUUAAUACCGUAUGUUGUCAUGUUGAUGCAUAUUUUCAUGACCAAAGGCUUCGGCCGGUAAAGGAUGGGGAUGCGUCUGAUUAGCUUGCCGGCGGGGUGACGGCCCACCGGGGCGACGAUCAGUAGGGGUUCUGAGAGGAAGGUCCCCCACAUUGGAACUGAGACACGGUCCAAACUCCUACGGGAGGCAGCAG